This 980-nucleotide long non-coding RNA is filed under the name Felis catus (domestic cat). RNAcentral's name for it is "lncRNA (ENSFCAG00000044425.2)". The record is from RNAcentral. Lineage: Eukaryota; Metazoa; Chordata; Mammalia; Carnivora; Felidae.
UAGGCAUGAAACAAUGGGAAUUGUUUCCCUCCUCAUUCUAUGUUCCUUUUUGGAAUUCCAUCACUCACCUCAACAGGAUUCCUUGGGACAAGAAAAUGAUGCCCACAGCAUGCAGGGAAAUCAUGGUAGCUGCACUGAGGGGAAGAAAAACAGCCCAGUGAACCCAGCCAUUUCAAAUCCAAAUUGGCUUCAACUAUUAAGAGGCGACAAAUGGAACAACAGAAUCAGAGAAGCAGACUUAGGGUCAUCAAAUGUGGCUCCCCAAGGAUGCAGCCUGAAGAUGACUAAGAGCUUCUGGGAUGUAGAGAGGCUUGUCCUAAAAAUCCAUGACCAAAAUGCUAAUAUUUGUGUGUAAACAGUCCAUUCUAAUUCAGUUCAAGACAUUAUUUUAUGUUGUACCUAAAAGAAGCCAAGAUGUGAAGGAGGAACAGAUUUCAGCACAUAAUGGGAUUGGACAUACCCUUUGUAGCUUGUUUAUUUUAUUUCCAUGGGCUUCCUUCUCCUUGCCAAGUUAUUUUGACUACUGAGAUAUCUUGGGUUGAUACUUAUGAUGAAUUUCUUUAGAACCAGUUUUCAUCUUGAUGAAAUGUAUGCCUGUUUUUGUCUACAUAGACCUACUUUAAAAUCCCAAAACAUCUGUCACUUACUAGGUGUCAUCUUAAUUUAUUACUUAACCCCUCUUUAUUGUUAAAACAGAGACUAACAUACAUACACCAAAGUUUGCUAGCAGGCUUAAUUUGAAGAAUACUUGUGAAGGGAUUUAACUCAUAGCACUCAGGAAAUCUUCCCCAUCCUACCUUUAACACUUUAAUUCAUAAGGCAUCAGAAUCUAUCCUCCAGCCUCACCUCAAUUUCCUUAAAUUUUUUAAAUGUAAUUUGAAAAAUGAGAGGUCUUAUAUCAAUACAAUUUUAUUACAGGAAAAAUUACUAGGGGACCUAGCUGAGCCUAAAGAAAAUAAAUCCAUGGGGUAAAAGAAACA